GCGAGCGUGGUGAAAUUGGUAGACACGCUAGACUUAGGAUCUAGUGCCUUCGGUGUGGGAGUUCGAGUCUCCCCGCUCGCA
Molecule: transfer RNA, 81 nt
Filed under: Spirochaetales bacterium
Lineage: Bacteria; Pseudomonadati; Spirochaetota; Spirochaetia; Spirochaetales
Description: tRNA-Leu
Rfam family: tRNA
About the family: Transfer RNA (tRNA) molecules are approximately 80 nucleotides in length.
Source: RNAcentral